This 248-nucleotide ribosomal RNA is filed under the name Kocuria flava. Its description in RNAcentral is "partial 16S ribosomal RNA". It matches the Rfam family "Bacterial small subunit ribosomal RNA", at positions 918 to 1156 of the family's 1533-position model. The record is from RNAcentral. Lineage: Bacteria; Bacillati; Actinomycetota; Actinomycetes; Micrococcales; Micrococcaceae.
GGCCCGCACAAGCGGCGGAGCAUGCGGAUUAAUUCGAUGCAACGCGAAGAAACCUUUACCAAGGCUUUGACAUUCCACCGGACCGCACUUGGAGACAGUGCUUUCCCUUUCGGGGCUUGGUGGACAGGUGGUGCAUGGUUGUCGUCAGCUCGUGUCGUGAGAUGUUGGGUUAAGUCCCGCAACGAGCGCAACCCUCGUUUCUAAUGUUGCCAGCACGUGAUGGUGGGGACUCAUAGGAGACUGCCGGG